CCUACGGGAGGCAGCAGUGGGGAAUAUUGCACAAUGGGGGGAACCCUGAUGCAGCGACGCCGCGUGAGUGAAGAAGUAUUUCGGUAUGUAAAGCUCUAUCAGCAGGGAAGAAAAUGACGGUACCUGUCUAAGAAGCCCCGGCUAACUACGUGCCAGGAGCCGGGGUUAUACGUGGGGGGCAAGCGUUAUUCGGAUUUACUGGGGGUAAAGGGAGCGCAGGCGGCUGUGCAAGUCUGGAGUGAAAGGCGCGGGCCCAACCCCCGGACUGCUCUGGAAACUGUAGAGCUGGAGUGCAGGAGAGGUAAGCGGAAGUCGUAGUGUAGCGGUGAAAUGCGUAGAUAUUAGGAGGAACACCAGUGGCGAAGGCAGCUUACUGGACUGCAACUGACGUUGAGGCUCGAAAGCGUGGGGAGCAAACAGGAUUAGAUACCCGUGUAGUC
Molecule: ribosomal RNA, 440 nt
Filed under: uncultured bacterium
Lineage: Bacteria
Description: partial 16S ribosomal RNA
Rfam family: Bacterial small subunit ribosomal RNA
Source: RNAcentral